Non-coding RNA from Rattus norvegicus (Norway rat), 787 nucleotides. NCBI's taxonomy places the organism in Eukaryota, Metazoa, Chordata, Mammalia, Rodentia, Muridae. The record is from RefSeq and is a predicted model, not a curated record.
UUUAGUUACGAACAAUUUUUUUUAAAGUUAGCUUCUGAUUUUUUUUUUUUUUUGGCUUUGUUUAGUUGUCUCUUAAUGUUUUUUAAAAUCAUAUUUGUAAUUGUCGUUGCUUUCCUUCUGGUGUAUUUGAUGAAGGUAAGUAAUCCAGGAGCACGCACGGGUUAGUAAUAGUCUUGGCCUUUUCACGCAUGUAAACCUUCUCAAGACAAAUGCAGAGGGAUGCGGCAGGUUUUCUGGUUGGUUAUCCAUUACUUGGUAAAUAAACAGAACCUUCUUUCUUGAGCUCUUUCUUAGAACUGCUGACCCAGUGGCCCUCUGAGGAGAGCUACUGCACGACUUGAACAUCUUAGGUCUCCAAAAGAGCUCAGGCUUUAGAACUGUUGUUGUGUGUUUAUUACAGUGUAUGGGAGUUUCCAUGCCUGUUCCUGGACAGAUAAUAACUCUUCGUAUCCCUUGGCUGCAAGAGAGGAAACUAACAGUUUGCUAAUCAUUUUAUUGAUGAGAAAAAAAAAUGGUGUAGAUAUAGUACUUAAAGCUAGAAAUGUAGUUAAUACAAAUUAUUAAUAAAGUAAGAUAGAAAAGAAAGUAAAAUGAAUAGAAUAGAAUAAAACUCCUCUGGUAACAUUGACAGUGUAAAGCUGAGGUCCGUUCGCUCGCGUGCUGUAGGCGUGCUAUCGCCUCGUCAGGUCGGGACGAGCUCCCUGCAUUGCACCAGUCCAAGAUGGGAGUAGGCUCCUGUAGACCAGCAGUGUUACCUUCAUUUUUAUUUCAGUAAAGGAGAUAAAAA